UUGGAGGGCAAGUCUGGUGCCAGCAGCCGCGGUAAUUCCAGCUCCAAUAGCGUAUAUUAAAGUUGUUGCAGUUAAAAAGCUCGUAGUUGAAUUUCGAGAUCAGUACGCUGGUCGUGCCUUCGGUAUGCACUGGUGUCACUGGUUUCUCCCUUCUGAAGAACCGUCAUGUCAUUAAGUUGGUGUGGCGGGGAAUCAGGACUGUUACUUUGAAAAAAUUAGAGUGUUUAAAGCAGGCUCGCGCUUGAAUACAUUAGCAUGGAAUAAUGAAAUAAAACGUUUGACCCUAUUUUGUUGGUUUCUAGGAUCGACGUAAUGAUUAAUAGGGAUAGUUGGGGGCAUUAGUAUUCAAUUGUCAGAGGUGAAAUUCUUGGAUUUAUUGAAGACUAACUACUGCGAAAGCAUUUGCCAAGGAUGUUUUCAUUAAUCAAGAACGAAAGUUAGGGGAUCGAAGACGAUCAGAUACCGUCGUAGUCUUAACCAUAAACUAUGCCGACUAGGGGUCGGAUGAUGUUAAUUUUUUAAUGACUCAUUCGGCGCCUUACGGGAAAC
This 549-nucleotide ribosomal RNA is filed under the name uncultured Glomus. RNAcentral describes it as "SSU rRNA". It matches the Rfam family "Eukaryotic small subunit ribosomal RNA", at positions 548 to 1098 of the family's 1831-position model. The record is from RNAcentral. Lineage: Eukaryota; Fungi; Glomeromycota; Glomeromycetes; Glomerales; Glomeraceae.